GGGACAGCUGGUUGUUGCCACAAGGU
RNAcentral lists this non-coding RNA (26 nucleotides) under Homo sapiens (human). Lineage: Eukaryota; Metazoa; Chordata; Mammalia; Primates; Hominidae. The record is from RNAcentral.